Molecule: ribosomal RNA, 811 nt
Filed under: uncultured Lysobacterales bacterium
Lineage: Bacteria; Pseudomonadati; Pseudomonadota; Gammaproteobacteria; Lysobacterales
Description: SSU rRNA
Rfam family: Bacterial small subunit ribosomal RNA
Source: RNAcentral
CACAGUAAGAGCUUGCUCUUAUGGGUGGCGAGUGGCGGACGGGUGAGGAAUACAUCGGAAUCUACUCUGUCGUGGGGGAUAACGUAGGGAAACUUACGCUAAUACCGCAUACGACCUACGGGUGAAAGCAGGGGAUCUUCGGACCUUGCGCGAUUGAAUGAGCCGAUGUCGGAUUAGCUAGUUGGCGGGGUAAAGGCCCACCAAGGCGACGAUCCGUAGCUGGUCUGAGAGGAUGAUCAGCCACACUGGAACUGCGACACGGUCCAGACUCCUACGGGAGGCAGCAGUGGGGAAUAUUGGACAAUGGGCGCAAGCCUGAUCCAGCCAUACCGCGUGGGUGAAGAAGGCCUUCGGGUUGUAAAGCCCUUUUGUUGGGAAAGAAAUCCAGCUGGCUAAUACCCGGUUGGGAUGACGGUACCCAAAGAAUAAGCACCGGCUAACUUCGUGCCAGCAGCCGCGGUAAUACGAAGGGUGCAAGCGUUACUCGGAAUUACUGGGCGUAAAGCGUGCGUAGGUGGUCGUUUAAGUCCGUUGUGAAAGCCCUGGGCUCAACCUGGGAACUGCAGUGGAUACUGGGCGACUAGAGUGUGGUAGAGGGUAGCGGAAUUCCUGGUGUAGCAGUGAAAUGCGUAGAGAUCAGGAGGAACAUCCAUGGCGAAGGCAGCUACCUGGACCAACACUGACACUGAGGCACGAAAGCGUGGGGAGCAAACAGGAUUAGAUACCCUGGUAGUCCACGCCCUAAACGAUGCGAACUGGAUGUUGGGUGCAAUUUGGCACGCAGUAUCGAAGCUAACGCGUUAAGUUCGCC